CCUACGGGUGGCAGCAGUGGGGAAUAUUGCGCAAUGGGCGAAAGCCUGACGCAGCGACGCCUCGUGAGGGAUGAAGGUCUUCGGAUCGUAAACCUCUGUCAAGAGGGAAGAAACCCUUGGGUUCGAAUAGGGCCCUUGGCUGACGGUACCUCAAAAGGAAGCACCGGCUAACUCCGUGCCAGCAGCCGCGGUAAUACGGAGGGUGCAAGCGUUAAUCGGAAUCACGUAGCGUAAAUGGCUCGUCAGCCGUGAAAGCCCACGGCUCAACCGUGGAACUGCGUUUGAUACUGCCAGACUUGAGUGUCGGAGAGGGUGGCGGAAUUCCGGGUGUAGGAGUGAAAUCCGUAGAGAUCCGGAGGAACACCAGUGGCGAAGGCGGCCACCUGGACGACAACUGACGCUGAGGAGCGAAAGCGUGGGGAGCAAACAGGAUUAGAUACCCUAGUAGUC
RNAcentral lists this ribosomal RNA (450 nucleotides) under uncultured bacterium. RNAcentral describes it as "partial 16S ribosomal RNA". It matches the Rfam family "Bacterial small subunit ribosomal RNA", at positions 338 to 795 of the family's 1533-position model. The record is from RNAcentral.